RNAcentral lists this long non-coding RNA (972 nucleotides) under Calidris pygmaea (Spoon-billed sandpiper). RNAcentral describes it as "lncRNA (ENSCPGG00000000646.1)". Lineage: Eukaryota; Metazoa; Chordata; Aves; Charadriiformes; Scolopacidae. The record is from RNAcentral.
GGAAGAAGGAGAGAACUUGUUGUAUCAUACAGCAGGGCCAGGGGACACGGGAAUGGUGGCCUGUCAAUGGCUGUGGUCAUCUGUCUAGAGGGAAAUAGUGAGGUCUUCACAUUUCUGUCUGUGAGGAGGAGUCACAAUUCAAAAGGUGGGUUUUGUUCCCAAUUGGAUUGAAUACAAUCAGAGGUACAAGAAGAUAUGACUGAAAAAAAAAUAAUAACAGAAGUCACUAACUUUUGUCUCGCUUAGUUUCCAGCGAAGUUUCCACAAGAUCCAAUACUGUUUUGUGAAAUCUUCCAACUUGGUUAAAACAGCUUCUUCCCCGCCGCUUUUUUCCCCAGAUGAAGUCCUGAGAAGCCACAGACACACCCUGGUUUGCUCAGUGAAAAGGAGCCCUCUACGGAUCGUAGCCCCACACACAGAGUGCCCAGGACUAGCGGCUUGGAGGUAAGUGCCAUGGUUCACCUUCCGAGUGGGGUUGUGCAACCUCUUAUCCUCCUCUGCCAGAGGGGAGCCUGACUUCAGGGCACUGGUAGCAAUCAAUAUAGCUGAACUAACUCUGAAUUUUCUGCAACUCUGGGCUUUCCCAGACGUAGCGGACCCUUAAGAGUUGGGCUUUUUUGGUGUGCUUUGGAUCUAGUUUCAAAUAGGUUUUGUGAAGGGUAUUGGCAUGUGUCAGUGUGCUUGUGAGACAGUCACCUUUUCACUUUCCUAUUCUGAGUUUGGUUUUGCAAUUAAGUAUUAUUCGUAAUUUUUUCGUAUUUAUUUUUCUUGGCUGAAAUAAGGUGAUUCCUUGCAUGUACAGGUGCUCUGAAGACCUUUGCAGAAAUGCUGCCUUUACUCCCAGGGCUGGGCUUCUUCCUUUUGGUUGGUGAGUAUUACCGUGAGGGUGACGGGUGUCCCGGGAGGAUUUUCCAUACCAGCAGCUGUAGCUGAGGUAAAGCUCAAAAGAGAAAAUUGUGCUGAAAGACCAUU